Molecule: ribosomal RNA, 423 nt
Filed under: Triticum aestivum (bread wheat)
Lineage: Eukaryota; Viridiplantae; Streptophyta; Magnoliopsida; Poales; Poaceae
Description: partial small subunit ribosomal RNA
Source: RNAcentral
AUGCAGCCACUCCAGCUUUCACGCAUGAGAUACGACAGAAAACUACCGAUAAGUUCCCUUGGCAUUGCUCUCGUGAUGCUCAUGUCCUUGGCCUCUAUCACUAGCUCCUGCACAGAGCAAGAGAAGGCCUCCCUCCUCAAGUUCCUCGCUGGGCUCUCACAGGAUGGUGGCCUUGCCGUGUUGUGGCAGAACGGCACAGAUUGCUGCACGUGGGAAGGGAUCACCUGCAACAUGGAUGGGACGGUUACUCUGAUGUCUCGCUGGCUUCCAAGGGUCUUCAGGGGUAUAUCUCACCUACUCUUGGCAGCCUCGCCGGAUUGUUGCGACUCAAUCUGUCAAACAACAUGCUGUCCGGUGGACUACCACAAGAAUUGGUGUCUUCCGACAGCAUCGUCGCCAUCGACAUCAGCUUCAACCACCUAG